Molecule: ribosomal RNA, 425 nt
Filed under: uncultured bacterium
Lineage: Bacteria
Description: partial 16S ribosomal RNA
Rfam family: Bacterial small subunit ribosomal RNA
Source: RNAcentral
GUUAGGAAUAUUGGACAAUGGGCGCAAGCCUGAUCCAGCCAUGCCGCGUGAGUGAUGAAGGCCUUCGGGUUGUAAAGCUCUUUAGUCCACGAAUAUAAUGACUGUAGUGGAAGAAUAAGCCCCGGCUAACUUCGUGCCAGCAGCCGCGGUAAUACGAAGGGGGCGAGCGUUAUUCGGAAUCACUGGGCGUAAAGCGUGCGUAGGCUGUUUUGUAAGUCAGAAGUGAAAGCCCAGGGCUUAACCCUGAAAUUGCUUUGGAAACUCGAAGACUCGAAUUCGGGAGAGGAUAGCGGAAUUGUCAGGGUAGCAGUGAAAUGCGUAGAUAUUGACAGGAACACCAGUGGCGCAAGCGGCUAUCUGGACCGAUAUUGACGCUGAGGCACGAAAGCGUGGGGAGCAAACAGGAUUAGAAACCCCAGUAGUCC